UGAGGGCUUCAUGGAGGCUCUAGGGCUAGUUGGGCCCAAGGUUGAAAGGCUGUGGGCCUUUCGGGUUCUUGAGGUCUAGGUUAUGUGGGCCUCAAGGGACCAACUCUUUAUGGACCAGGUCUGGGCUCAAGAUAGGUGAGAUUAGGACGAGUCAUGGGUGUACAUGGGUUUGGGUUAACCUAAUCUCCCAUAGAGUUGGUCAAGGGAGUUUUGGAUUUGGAUCACUUGACCCGGUGUUUAUAUAUACAUGUAUUGUGUAUAGGUUGGAUUAAGCCAAGUAAUAGAAGACUCUUUCUCCCAAGUCUCUCUCUCUCUUCUCCCUCUCUCUCCAGUAAUUCUCCACACCCCAGGAGCAAAAAACCCUAGGGUUUCUUGCCGCCAGUCCAUAAAAGGAAAGAGAAGAAGGGGAGGCGCAAGCCCCUUCCCCCUUGCAGCCGCCUACCAGAUCUGCUCUCUCCCUCUUGAAGGCACCUAAACACUAGGUCCAGGAUCUGAAAUCUCUUGAGAAGAGGUUGGUACAAGUCUCUCUCAAAUUUGGAGUUGAUCUGAGGUCAUUUGAGGCACGGGUGAGAUCUCCAUCAACAAAUCUACAAGAAAGACUACAGCAGGAUAAAUCUGUGAGGUCUGUCUCCAUCUAUCUUCUUUCCCAUCUAAAACACCCCGAUUCAAGAUCUAUGAAUUGGAGGACCUCGAUCCUGGUCUAAUCUGGUUGGGUACCAGAUCUUGAAUUUUUUAGAGGUAGUUUCAGAGGCAUUCUUCAUCUGGAAUGAAAGGCUGAUGAAGAAGACAGCAACCAGGCUGAUUUUGUCAAGGGCCUUGGAUCGUGUCCAGAUGACUCCAGAUCUAUUCGUUGCUAGUUCUGCUGCACCCAAGGUCCGUGGGAGGAGCCAGAAUCAUGCUCCAAUAGUUGGUAUUCAGAGCCACGA
This 926-nucleotide long non-coding RNA is filed under the name Elaeis guineensis (African oil palm). RNAcentral's name for it is "long non-coding RNA (EGUI_LNC060083)". The record is from RNAcentral. Lineage: Eukaryota; Viridiplantae; Streptophyta; Magnoliopsida; Arecales; Arecaceae.